This is a non-coding RNA of Trichonephila clavipes, 78 nucleotides long. The record is from the annotation of a GenBank genome assembly. Lineage: Eukaryota; Metazoa; Arthropoda; Arachnida; Araneae; Nephilidae.
UCCGUGAUCGUAUAGUGGUUAGUACAUUGCGUUGUGGCCGCAAUAUAUAUAACCCAGGUUCGAAUCUUGGUCACGGCA